CAAUGGGCGAAAGCCUGACGGAGCAAUACCGCGUGAGGGAGGAAGGCUCUUGGGUUGUAAACCUCUUUUCUCAGGGAAGAAAACAAUGACGGUACCUGAGGAAUAAGCAUCGGCUAACUCCGUGCCAGCAGCCGCGGUAAUACGGAGGAUGCAAGCGUUAUCCGGAAUGAUUGGGCGUAAAGCGUCCGCAGGUGGCAAUGUAAGUCUGCUGUUAAAGAGUCUAGCUCAACUAGAUAAAGGCAGUGGAAACUACAUAGCUAGAGUGCGUUCGGGGUAGAGGGAAUUCCUGGUGUAGCGGUGAAAUGCGUAGAUAUCAGGAAGAACACCGGUGGCGAAGGCGCUCUACUAGGCCGCAACUGACACUGAGGGACGAAAGCUAGGGGAGCGAAUGGGAUUAGAUACCCCAGUAGUCCUAGCCGUAAACGAUGGAUACUAGGCGUGGCUUGUAUCGACCCGAGCCGUGCCGGAGCUAACGCGUUAAGUAUCCCGCCUGGGGAGUACGCACGCAAGUGUGAAACUCAAAGGAAUUGACGGGGGCCCGCACAAGCGGUGGAGUAUGUGGUUUAAUUCGAUGCAACGCGAAGAACCUUACCAAGGCUUGACAUGUCGCGAAUUUCGGUGAAAGCUGAAAGUGCCUUAGGGAGCGCGAACACAGGUGGUGCAUGGCUGUCGUCAGCUCGUGUCGUGAGAUGUUGGGUUAAGUCCCGCAACGAGCGCAACCCUCGUUUCUAGUUGCCAGCAAUAAGAUGGGAACUCUAGAGAGACUGCCGGUGACAAACCGGAGGAAGGUGGGGAUGACGUCAAGUCAGCAUGCCCCUUACGCCUUGGGCUACACACGUACUACAAUGCUACGGACAAAGGGCAGCUACACAGCGAUGUGAUGCAAAUCUCGUAAACCGUAGCUCAGUUCAGAUCGAAGGCUGCAACUCGCCUUCGUGAAGGAGGAAUCGCUAGUAAUUGCAGGUCAGCAUACUGCAGUGAAUUCGUUCCCGGGCCUUGUACACACCGCCCGUCACACCAUGGAAGUCGGUCACGCCCGAAGUCAUUACCCCAACC
Molecule: ribosomal RNA, 1056 nt
Filed under: Anabaena sp. Sorg 9
Lineage: Bacteria; Bacillati; Cyanobacteriota; Cyanophyceae; Nostocales; Nostocaceae
Description: bacterial SSU rRNA
Rfam family: Bacterial small subunit ribosomal RNA
Source: RNAcentral